GAAAAAACAAGUUUCAUCCCUGUAACAGUAUCACAAUACACACAAAUGGAUAAAUCAUGGCCCUUUGUUUAUGAUUGAUGCAAAAAAUAAAGAAAAUGCUGCUAAUAUUUUCAAGGUUCUUCCCAGGAAUUAAGGAUAAGAUUCCUAGAAGGUAUUGCAGUUGGUAUCACAAAACAUUUGAACUAUCAAAGAAAGGUUAAACGUAUAAAGUUAAGAAUAAGAAAUUCAAAUCAUUUCACUCUUUUAUACAGCAUGUAACUCUACUAGUACCCCUCCUUUCUGUAAGAUUAUCAAAGAAAAAUAAGAUCCAAAAUUUGAAAUUACAUAGCACAAUCAUUUUCUACUUCCUUGGGAAAUGUCUCUUUUUUAUGCUAUAAUCUCUGAAGCUCCAUAAAAAUUUAUAAAAAAAAACUAUUUUAUUAUCUUUACAAAGAUCCAGCUGCAGUAAGCUUAAAGCAGAAGAUCUUUGCCUAUCAUCUCAAUUAGUUAGUCU
Molecule: unclassified non-coding RNA, 493 nt
Filed under: Hevea brasiliensis (rubber tree)
Lineage: Eukaryota; Viridiplantae; Streptophyta; Magnoliopsida; Malpighiales; Euphorbiaceae
Source: RNAcentral